Non-coding RNA from Ceratobasidium sp. AG-I, 98 nucleotides. The record is from the annotation of a GenBank genome assembly. NCBI's taxonomy places the organism in Eukaryota, Fungi, Basidiomycota, Agaricomycetes, Cantharellales, Ceratobasidiaceae.
GCGUGGAUAGUAUAACGGUUAUUAUCCCGGUUUCCCAUCACAUGGCUUCUCUCGAGAGGAAAUUACCGGGGACGCGAGUUCGACUCUCGCUUCACGCA